AGAGGGGGCAAGCGUUAUUCGGAAUUAUUGGGCGUAAAGGGCGCGUAGGCGGCUUUGCAAGUGACGGGUGAAAUCCCUCGGCUUAACCGAGGAACUGCCUGUCAAACUGCAUGGCUUGAGACCGGGAGAGGUGAGUGGAAUUCCCAGUGUAGCGGUGAAAUGCGUAGAUAUUGGGAGGAACACCAGUGGCGAAGGCGGCUCACUGGACCGGUACUGACGCUGAGGCGCGAAAGCGUGGGGAGCAAACAGGAUUAGAUACCCUGGUAGUCCACGCCGUAAACGAUGAGUGCUUGGUGUAGCGGGUAUCGACCCCUGCUGUGCCGAAGUCAACACAUUAAGCACUCCGCCUGGGGAGUACGGUCGCAAGGCUG
RNAcentral lists this ribosomal RNA (371 nucleotides) under uncultured bacterium. Its description in RNAcentral is "bacterial SSU rRNA". It matches the Rfam family "Bacterial small subunit ribosomal RNA", at positions 527 to 896 of the family's 1533-position model. The record is from RNAcentral.